RNAcentral lists this ribosomal RNA (253 nucleotides) under uncultured bacterium. RNAcentral describes it as "partial 16S ribosomal RNA". It matches the Rfam family "Bacterial small subunit ribosomal RNA", at positions 524 to 776 of the family's 1533-position model. The record is from RNAcentral.
UACAGAGGAGCCAAGCGUUGUCCGGAUUGACUGGGCGUAAAGCGCACGCAGGCGGGGGUGCGCGUGGGGUGUGAAAUCUGGCCGCUUAACGGCCAGGCGCCAUCCCAUACGGCACGCCUGGAGCCUUGCAGAGGUCGGUGGAAUUGCCGGUGUAGUGGUGAAAUGCGUAGAGAUCGGCAGGAACACCCAGGGGGAAACCAGCCGACUGGGCAUCUGCUGACGCUGAGGUGCGAGAGCGUGGGGAGCGAACCGG